Molecule: long non-coding RNA, 220 nt
Filed under: Ananas comosus (pineapple)
Lineage: Eukaryota; Viridiplantae; Streptophyta; Magnoliopsida; Poales; Bromeliaceae
Description: long non-coding RNA (ACOM_LNC028252)
Source: RNAcentral
AUGAGGUUAUGCAAUGCCGAGGGGUUAAUAGAUGGGAAAUGAUGGGAAUCACCUCUUCAAUUCCAGCAGAUUGGGGAAUUGAGCAGGGAAUUGGGUCAGAGGAGAUGAGAGAGGGGAGAAAGACAUGGAGGAGGAGUGGAGAAGAAGAAGGAAGAGAAGAGAGAGUUGGGGAGAGUUUGGGAUUUUUUUAUUAUCAAUUUGCUUGAGGAUUACAAGUAUA